Molecule: long non-coding RNA, 565 nt
Organism: Herpailurus yagouaroundi (jaguarundi)
Lineage: Eukaryota; Metazoa; Chordata; Mammalia; Carnivora; Felidae
Exons: 3
Source: RefSeq, a predicted model, not a curated record
GGCUGAAUGACCGCGGGGGCAAGCCUGGAAUAGGGGAGUGCUACAGAGGACGGGUCAGAGGACCUGCCGCUGACCGCUGACCUGAGGCUGCGUGCCCAGGAAAGAGGAGGACUGCAUCAAGGGAGGGCAGCCUGGAGGUGGAGGGAGACAAAGUGCUUGUGAACAGGAGAGGGGACCUGCUUUCCCCCCUACUUCAAGUUCUUGAGAAGGAAAUUGCUUAUCUUUUGAAAAGAGUUAACUGAUCUCUUCAAGGCCUCCUCCACAGAAGAAAGGUGACCGACACUGUGCCCAGUUUGAUGACACAGUGCACACACCCAUGUCCUCACCUUCCUUAAACCAAACCCUAUGCAUAUGGUGCAGAUACCAGUUCAUUUACAUAACUCCAAACACACAGCCUCUUGGUUACACCUUCAAGGCAAAUAUACCCACCCCUUUCAUUCUUCCGACUGCAUAUCCUUCCUAUCUGAGCUGGGACUUUUUCCGGAUCCUUUGUCCCUUGCUCCUGACUGCUACUAGAUCUGUAAUAGCAAGAGCACCUUACCAUGUUCUAAUACCACUAUGUGCC